RNAcentral lists this unclassified non-coding RNA (298 nucleotides) under Hevea brasiliensis (rubber tree). Lineage: Eukaryota; Viridiplantae; Streptophyta; Magnoliopsida; Malpighiales; Euphorbiaceae. The record is from RNAcentral.
GUGUGGGGUUUGGGGGAGGAUUUAUUUACAAGUUGAAAUGAUAUUGAAAAUCAAGCUGAUUGCUAUUUAUAUUUAUUUGCUGUUUUUGUGAUCAAAUUCAUCUAAUUGGUGAAGAUUGAUAAGCCUCCAUUCAAUUCAUCUGCUAGAUCCUCAUUGGAGGAACUUGAUAGCUAAGAAUAAAUGUUAACCUGGUGGCCUUGAUAUAUUAAGGGAUGCCAAUGAAAUUGCCCUCUUAAUAAAGGUGUUUAACUACCAAAAAAUAGUGAUUGUUUUUUCUUCUUCCAGGCAUAGUUGUAAG